RNAcentral lists this transfer RNA (73 nucleotides) under Bos taurus (domestic cattle). It matches the Rfam family "tRNA". From Rfam's summary of the family: Transfer RNA (tRNA) molecules are approximately 80 nucleotides in length. Their secondary structure includes four short double-helical elements and three loops (D, anti-codon, and T loops). Lineage: Eukaryota; Metazoa; Chordata; Mammalia; Artiodactyla; Bovidae. RNAcentral also lists the same sequence under 4 other names. The record is from Rfam by way of RNAcentral.
UCCCUGUCAGUCCAGUGGUUAAGACUCUGUGCUUUCACUGCAGGGGAUACAGGUUCAAUCCCUGGUCAGGGAA